ACUCCUACGGGAGGCAGCAGUGGGGAAUAUUGCACAAUGGGCGCAAGCCUGAUGCAGCCAUGCCGCGUGUAUGAAGAAGGCCUUCGGGUUGUAAAGUACUUUCAGCAGUGAGGAAGGCGGAGUCGUUAAUAGCGGCCUCGUUUGACGUUAGCUGCAGAAGAAGCACCGGCUAACUCCGUGCCAGCAGCCGCGGUAAUACGGAGGGUGCGAGCGUUAAUCGGAAUUACUGGGCGUAAAGCGCAUGCAGGUGGUUUGUUAAGUCAGAUGUGAAAGCCCGGGGCUCAACCUCGGAAUUGCAUUUGAAACUGGCAGACUAGAGUACUGUAGAGGGGGGUAGAAUUUCAGGUGUAGCGGUGAAAUGCGUAGAGAUCUGAAGGAAUACCGGUGGCGAAAGGCGGCCCCCUGGACAGAUACUGACACUCAGAUGCGAAAGCGUGGGGAGCAAACG
This 448-nucleotide ribosomal RNA is filed under the name uncultured bacterium. Its description in RNAcentral is "bacterial SSU rRNA". It matches the Rfam family "Bacterial small subunit ribosomal RNA", at positions 335 to 774 of the family's 1533-position model. The record is from RNAcentral.